Molecule: ribosomal RNA, 465 nt
Filed under: Vreelandella stevensii
Lineage: Bacteria; Pseudomonadati; Pseudomonadota; Gammaproteobacteria; Oceanospirillales; Halomonadaceae
Description: partial 16S ribosomal RNA
Rfam family: Bacterial small subunit ribosomal RNA
Source: RNAcentral
CCUACGGGCGGCUGCAGUGGGGAAUAUUGGACAAUGGGCGAAAGCCUGAUCCAGCCAUGCCGCGUGUGUGAAGAAGGCCUUCGGGUUGUAAAGCACUUUCAGUGGGGAAGAAAGCCUUGGGGCUAAUACCCUCGAGGAAGGACAUCACCCACAGAAGAAGCACCGGCUAACUCCGUGCCAGCAGCCGCGGUAAUACGGAGGGUGCGAGCGUUAAUCGGAAUUACUGGGCGUAAGGCGCGCGUAGGCGGUCUGAUAAGCCGGUUGUGAAAGCCCCGGGCUCAACCUGGGAACGGCAUCCGGAACUGUCAGGCUAGAGUGCAGGAGAGGAAGGUAGAAUUCCCGGUGUAGCGGUGAAAUGCGUAGAGAUCGGGAGGAAUACCAGUUGCGAAGGCGGCCUUCUGGACUGACACUGACGCUGAGGUGCGAAAGCGUGGGUAGCAAACAGGAUUAGAUACCCUAGUAGUC